AUUUUUUUUAUGCAUUUAAGCUCCUGAAUGGAAUUAAUCAAUAGGUAAUUGGGGGACUUAGUUCACUAAUUGAUACAUAAUUAUAUUUAAUGUAUAUAUUCCCUAUUUCAUUAUUGCUACUAAAAGAUUUACCUUUUGUAUACGUUGCCAAUGGUGUUGAUUCCAUACACUGAUCCAUCUGUGGCAACUUCCACCAUAAUCAUGUUCCCAUCCACCUGUCUCCAUUCACUGCCUUUGCAAUCAUUUGGACUAACGUUCAGACGAUAAAAUAUAUCAUUGUUGCUGUUCACUCCCCAGCAACUAUAACGACCACAGCUAUAAUACUUCAAUCUUCCAUCAAGUAGUAUGAAAGGGAGAGAUGUCCCCUUGGAAAGAGUGAGAUCCUGGCUUAGGCAAAAAAUGUUAUCAGCGUUGUUCACACCUCCUAGGAAUACAUUACCCCCUGCGUCCACCUGUUUAAGGGCUCCUAUGAAAAAAUAUCAGCAGAUAACAUGAUUAAUGAUAAUUGGUUCAACACCCUGCAUGCCCUGAAACAAACCACACUGCAAACGUUGUCAGCAUAUCUGCACAAAUCACAUGGCCACACAACAGUAAAACAUAUAACAUGAUGGAAUCGUUCUCCUCUACAUCAAGAGAUGUUC
This is a non-coding RNA of Pelobates cultripes (western spadefoot toad), 641 nucleotides long. NCBI's taxonomy places the organism in Eukaryota, Metazoa, Chordata, Amphibia, Anura, Pelobatidae. The record is from the annotation of a GenBank genome assembly.